This 500-nucleotide ribosomal RNA is filed under the name Labeo bata (bata). RNAcentral's name for it is "eukaryotic LSU rRNA". It matches the Rfam family "Eukaryotic large subunit ribosomal RNA", at positions 1494 to 1955 of the family's 3401-position model. Lineage: Eukaryota; Metazoa; Chordata; Actinopteri; Cypriniformes; Cyprinidae. The record is from RNAcentral.
AAGUGGAGAAGGGUUCCAUGUGAACAGCAGUUGAACAUGGGUCAGUCGGUCCUAAGGGAUAGGCGAAGGCCGUUCGGAAGGGGGGGGCGAUGGCCUCCGUCGCCCCCGUGUCGAUCGAAAGGGAAUCGGGUCCAGAUCCCCGAACCCGGAGUGGCGGAGACGGGCGCCGCGAGGCGCCCAGUGCGGUAACGCAAACGAACCCGGAGAAGCUGGCGGGGGCCCCGGGAAGAGUUCUCUUUUCUUUGUGAAGGGCCGGGCGCCCUGGAAUGGGUUCGUCCCGAGAUAGGGGCCCACGCCCUGGAAAGCGCCGCGGUUCCGGCGGCGUCCGGUGAGCUCUCGUCGGCCCUUGAAAAUCCGGGGGAGAAGGUGUAAGUCUCGCGCCGGGCCGUACCCAUAUCCGCAGCAGGUCUCCAAGGUGAACAGCCUCUGGCAUGUUGGAUCAAGGCAUGUAAGGGAAGUCGGCAAGUCAGAUCCGUAACUUCGGGAUAAGGAUUGGCUCU